This 253-nucleotide ribosomal RNA is filed under the name uncultured bacterium. RNAcentral describes it as "partial 16S ribosomal RNA". It matches the Rfam family "Bacterial small subunit ribosomal RNA", at positions 524 to 776 of the family's 1533-position model. The record is from RNAcentral.
UACAGAGGGGGCAAGCGUUAUUCGGAAUUAUUGGGCGUAAAGGGCGCGUAGGCGGCUUUGCAAGUGGCGGGUGAAAUCCCUCGGCUUAACCGAGGAACUGCCUGUCAAACUGCAUGGCUUGAGACCAGGAGAGGUGAGUGGAAUUCCCAGUGUAGCGGUGAAAUGCGUAGAUAUUGGGAGGAACACCAGUGGCGAAGGCGGCUCACUGGACUGGUACUGACGCUGAGGAGCGAAAGCGUGGGGAGCGAACAGG